This 1371-nucleotide ribosomal RNA is filed under the name uncultured bacterium. Its description in RNAcentral is "bacterial SSU rRNA". It matches the Rfam family "Bacterial small subunit ribosomal RNA", at positions 28 to 1381 of the family's 1533-position model. The record is from RNAcentral.
GAUGAACGCUGGUGGCGUGCCUAACACAUGCAAGUCGAGCGAACAGACGAGGAGCUUGCUCCUUUGACGUUAGCGGCGAACGGGUGAGUAACACGUGGGUAACCUACCUAUAAGACUGGGAUAACUUCGGGAAACCGGAGCUAAUACCGGAUAAUAUUUCGAACCGCAUGGUUCGAUAGUGAAAGAUGGCUUUGCUAUCACUUAUAGAUGGACCUGCGCCGUAUUAGCUAGUUGGUAAGGUAACGGCUUACCAAGGCAACGAUACGUAGCCGACCUGAGAGGGUGAUCGGCCACACUGGAACUGAGACACGGUCCAGACUCCUACGGGAGGCAGCAGUAGGGAAUCUUCCGCAAUGGGCGAAAGCCUGACGGAGCAACGCCGCGUGAGUGAUGAAGGUCUUCGGAUCGUAAAACUCUGUUAUUACGGAAGAACAAACGUGUAAGUAACUGUGCACGUCUUGACGGUACCUAAUCAGAAAGCCACGGCUAACUACGUGCCAGCAGCCGCGGUAAUACGUAGGUGGCAAGCGUUAUCCGGAAUUAUUGGGCGUACAGCGCGCGUAGCGGUUUUUUAAGUCUGAUGUGAAAGCCCACGGCUCAUCCGUGGAGGGUCAUUGGAAACUGGAAAACUUGAGUGCAGAAGAGGAAAGUGGAAUUCCAUGUGUAGCGGUGAAAUGCGCAGAGAUAUGGAGGAACACCAGUGGCGAAGGCGACUUUCUGGUCUGUAACUGACGCUGAUGUGCGAAAGCGUGGGGAUCAAACAGGAUUAGAUACCCUGGUAGUCCACGCCGUAAACGAUGAGUGCUAAGUGUUAGGGGGUUUCCGCCCCUUAGUGCUGCAGCUAACGCACUAAGCACUCCGCCUGGGGAGUACGACCGCAAGGUUGAAACUCAAAGGAAUUGACGGGGACCCGCACAAGCGGUGGAGCAUGUGGUUUAAUUCGAAGCAACGCGAAGAACCUUACCAAAUCUUGACAUCCUUUGACCCUUCUAGAGAUAGAAGUUUCCCCUUCGGGGGACAAAGUGACAGGUGGUGCAUGGUUGUCGUCAACUCGUGUCGUGAGAUGUUGGGUUAAGUCCCGCAACGAGCGCAACCCUUAAGCUUAGUUGCCAUCAUUAAGUUGGGCACUCUAAGUUGACUGCCGGUGACAAACCGGAGGAAGGUGGGGAUGACGUCAAAUCAUCAUGCCCCUUAUGAUUUGGGCUACACACGUGCUACAAUGGACAAUACAAAGGGCAGCGAAACCGCGAGGUCAAGCAAAUCCCAUAAAGUUGUUCUCAGUUCGGAUUGUAGUCUGCAACUCGACUACAUGAAGCUGGAAUCGCUAGUAAUCGUAGAUCAGCAUGAUACGGUGAAUACGUUCCCGGGUCU